UAUUGGAUAACAUGCUCAAAUUCGGGACGCCAUUGGUCUAGUGCUUGUCAGUCUAUGGCGCGCCGAUGCUCGUGAACGCGCUGCGCAGACAGUGCACGACACGUAUGUGGCCAGAGUGUCUGGAGUCUGUCUGAAACUGAUAAAAAUGGUGAUGGAGUUUUUCAAGAGUCUUGCUCAUAUUUUAUUAGAAAGGCAAAAGGAGACAGACCGGAAUUUUGCAAUCAUCCAACACUAUAGUCAUUUCGUAGCUUGAAAACUAGAUUUUAUUGUAGCGCAUUUCAAAGUUUAUUCCAUGUUUUCAUCAGACAGUUCGAUUAUUCACAGGCAGGGGGAAAUACCAUUUUGGUGACCCCUUGAUACUGUCACAGAUUCAGCUACACUGAAAGAUGGUGCCCGUAAUCUGGAUCUUUGCUGCCAUGUGGACGGUAGGUUUAAAAGGGCAUUUCCCUUUUAACUGCAAGCACAUUUGGGCAUGUCAUGGAGAGACGGGUGAAACAGCAGGAAUGCAGAGAGGUAUCCAAAGCGUAACGUCUGACUCUUCUGAAAGCCAUACCCAACUGCUGGAGCGAGGCAUUGAAUGUGUUAGGACAGCUGCCUCCAUUUUAGGGAGGAGUUUUGUGGAGGAAGAUGGAGAUCCUUUCUACAGUACCAGAAUUUGCAGCGUGAAUCGAUUCUGAUUUGAGGCAUUGUUUGCAAUUUUUUUUAUCUCUUUGUCAUUCAGUGUUUACUUGCAAAUCGAAUAUAAUUAAUUUAGUAAAAAUGUUAUUAAAUUGCGCGUGUGGUGUUAUAUGAGAUUGUUGGAAAACGAUGAAUCGUACUUUGGGUUGAUUGCUUACCAGUCUCGGAUUGCAGCUAAUUUUGUUUUCUGUUUGAAGCAUAGCCACUAUUAUUGUAACAUUGUAAAGAUUUUGUUUUGUUUAGGCACAUAGUGACAGAUUUUAAUCGGCUUUUAUUGUAUUGUCUGUACUAAAAUUGUUAGUGAUACAAAAUACAAAACAAAACACCUUAAUGUUCAAAUAAAAAAUGCCUUUAGGGCCCCAGGAUUUUAGUGGUAAACAGUUAUGUUUUCUAAUCUGCUGUGAAAUUUUAUUUGUCUUAUUUUAAUGUGUAUUACCUAGAUAAUUAGCUGUUAUAUUUAGAUUUCUACCCUCAAGUCGCACAUUUGGCAGAUAGUAUUUUCAAAUGUAAACUUUGAACACAUUUCUUUAGAGAUGUUUUGUGUAAAACGUGACUAUUAGUUUAUGUCUUUAAAAAUGCAGAAUUUUAGCAUUUGUUUGAGAUUUAUUUUAUUCCCGUUUAUUACAGUGUUACAGUGUUUUGUGAUUUCUUUUGCCAUUUGAAUAAUGCUUAUCUUAUUUAUUAGCAUUUUUUUAUUGUUUUUUAUUUUAUCUUUUGUAAAUGGCAUGUUUAAAAUUCAACUGACAUUGUGAACUAAAUGAUUAUCUAAGAAAGCAGGCAAAUGUGCUUUGAAAUUAGGUUUUGAAAAGUUUGAGUAUUUCAUGUUUUUUAAUUUAAAAUCUGGGUAGUUACAUAACUUAAUAGCAUUGUUUUUGGUUUGUGUAAAACUGAAGGUAACUUAUUAAUUUAUUUAUUUAUUGUUGUAAUAAUUCUUUCAAAUUAGUGCUUGUACUGAACUGUAAUUUUUAUUACGAUUGCAUAGCAAUUUCAUUAAUGUAAUUUUUUUGUAAAAAUUGAAUUAUCGUAAUUAUUAUUGUAAUAAAAUUAUAAAUUGCUGUGAUAACAGUUUUUGUUUUUAUUAAUACAAAUAUAUUGGGUUAAUUCAUUCUCUAAAAGUCGAAACAAUGCUUGAUAUGAGUGAGACUGAUUGGAGUUUAGAAGGUGUAUAAGCUGCCAAAGCCACAAAUGUGCCAUUAACUAUGUGUGUGCAAGUGAAUGUGUGCGUGUAUUGGAGGGUGGAUUUGUGGCUUCGUGUCUUGGGCCUUGUGCUUCAAUGUCUGAGAUACACAAUGUUCUGGAAGAUUCAACCUCUUGAGACCCACUGGCCCUGAAAUCUUAUAACUCUAACUGGAAACUGGAAAAAUUUGGGGUGUGACACUGUUAUGAGGGGUUCAGAAGAAACUAGGUUUUGAGUCAUAACCUUUUAUAAAACAAAUUGUAGAUGGUGAUUUUUACUUACGAUUCUGCAUAUUCCUAUAAUAUACAAUGAACGUUUACCUUGUUUAAACAAUUUUAAAGUGGACAGACACUUUAAGUCAAGGUUUUUGAAACAAUAUGUGAGGAAAUGAAGAACGUUAAAAAACGUAAAAGGUUGAAACUGUUUCAGCAAUUUCGAAGUGCAGACGUUGGUAAUGUUUAUGCUGUUGGUUUACUGUUUCAGUGCAAGUGUCACAUGUCCUUUUGCUUAGUGAUAUGAUUGAUGUAUUCGUUCUUCAUUUUUAGUGAGAUAUUUCUCUUUUACUUUACUUCGGCAACAUGUCUUUUCCUAAAUCUUUUACACCAUGUUGUGUUUUUUUUUAGAUCUUUAGAAUCACUGAGGGUUAUGUUAAUAUGGGAAUUGUUUUCAGAGAUACAUGUUAAAUACAUUAACAUGCAUGUAUCUAAUUUAGUUACUUUUGAGCACUCUAAACCAAGCUGUUAUAUAGAAAUGUGUAUGAAUGAUUUUGUCAUAAUUUGUUAGCAGAUAGUUUUGGAUUGACAUAUGAACUUCAUCUUGUCAAUCCUUUAGUUGCAUUUAGCCUCACCAAAUGAAUGUAAACUGAUUAGAGCAAUUAAAAAAUCCAACCUACGAAUCAUGUUUGUUUGUUUUUUUAGAGAAAGUAUAGCUUGAUCACAAAUAUUUAAUGUUUUUGUAUAAACUGAUUAAGAAUUGCUGCUAACUAAGAAUAAUUUUUUGACCUUACCUAAAUAGACAAAAAUUCUAUUUUUAAUGUUUUCAUCGAUUUUUAAGUUCACAACUUUUGUUACAGCAGUUACUAUAAUUAAAAAGCAUUAUUGCAUACUGUUUACUGGAU
Misgurnus anguillicaudatus (oriental weatherfish) is the source of this 2972-nucleotide long non-coding RNA. RefSeq lists it as uncharacterized. Lineage: Eukaryota; Metazoa; Chordata; Actinopteri; Cypriniformes; Cobitidae. The record is from RefSeq and is a predicted model, not a curated record.